Molecule: ribosomal RNA, 496 nt
Filed under: uncultured bacterium
Lineage: Bacteria
Description: partial 16S ribosomal RNA
Rfam family: Bacterial small subunit ribosomal RNA
Source: RNAcentral
AUGAACGCUGGCGGCGUGCCUAAUACAUGCAAGUCGAGCGAACAGAUAAGGAGCUUGCUCCUUUGACGUUAGCGGCGGACGGGUGAGUAACACGUGGGUAACCUACCUAUAAGACUGGGAUAACUUCGGGAAACCGGAGCUAAUACCGGAUAACAUUUGGAACCGCAUGGUUCUAAAGUGAAAGAUGGUUUUGCUAUCACUUAUAGAUGGACCCGCGCCGUAUUAGCUAGUUGGUAAGGUAACGGCUUACCAAGGCGACGAUACGUAGCCGACCUGAGAGGGAGAUCGGCCACACUGGAACUGAGACACGGUCCAGACUCCUACGGGAGGCAGCAGUAGGGAAUCUUCCGCAAUGGGCGAAAGCCUGACGGAGCAACGCCGCGUGAGUGAUGAAGGGUUUCGGCUCGUAAAACUCUGUUAUUAGGGAAGAACAAAUGUGUAAGUAACUGUGCACGUCUUGACGGUACCUAAUCAGAAAGCCACGGCUAACUACGUG